Molecule: long non-coding RNA, 200 nt
Filed under: Elaeis guineensis (African oil palm)
Lineage: Eukaryota; Viridiplantae; Streptophyta; Magnoliopsida; Arecales; Arecaceae
Description: long non-coding RNA (EGUI_LNC077069)
Source: RNAcentral
AUGUUGGCACCAACAUUGGAUAAGCACAAAUAAGGUGGCGCCAAAGAGUCCAAGUUUAUCAGGACUCUUUGGUUCUUAUCCAUUUGGGGUGCCCACUUAAAUCCAAUUGAGCUUACACCAUAAUCUGAUUAUGGCACCCAAUUUGAAGUGAUUUGGAUAUGUGGACACUCCACAAAAAUCCUCCAAUGAAUCCUCUUCAG